UACAGAGGUCUCAAGCGUUGUUCGGAUUCAUUGGGCGUAAAGGGUGCGUAGGUGGCGCCGUAAGUCGGGUGUGAAAUUUCGGAGCUUAACUCCGAAACUGCAUUCGAUACUGCGGUGCUUGAGGACUGGAGAGGAGACUGGAAUUCAUGGUGUAGCAGUGAAAUGCGUAGAGAUCAUGAGGAAGACCAGUGGCGAAGGCGGCUCACUGGCCCGGUACUGACGCUGAGGUGCGAAAGCGUGGGGAGCAAACAGG
RNAcentral lists this ribosomal RNA (253 nucleotides) under uncultured bacterium. Its description in RNAcentral is "partial 16S ribosomal RNA". It matches the Rfam family "Bacterial small subunit ribosomal RNA", at positions 524 to 776 of the family's 1533-position model. The record is from RNAcentral.